CAGCAGCCGCGGUAAUACGAAGGGGGCGAGCGUUGUGCGGAAGUACUGGGCGUAAAGCGCACGUAGGCGGAUAUUUAAGUCAGGGGUGAAAUCCCGGGGCUCAACCCCGGAACUGCCUUUGAUACUGGGUAUCUGGAGUAUGGAAGAGGUAAGUGGAAUUCCGAGUGUAGAGGUGAAAUUCGUAGAUAUUCGGAGGAACACCAGUGGCGAAGGCGGCUUACUGGUCCAUUACUGACGCUGAGGUGCGAAAGCGUGGGGAGCA
RNAcentral lists this ribosomal RNA (262 nucleotides) under uncultured bacterium. RNAcentral's name for it is "partial 16S ribosomal RNA". It matches the Rfam family "Bacterial small subunit ribosomal RNA", at positions 509 to 770 of the family's 1533-position model. The record is from RNAcentral.